This 253-nucleotide ribosomal RNA is filed under the name uncultured bacterium. RNAcentral describes it as "partial 16S ribosomal RNA". It matches the Rfam family "Bacterial small subunit ribosomal RNA", at positions 524 to 776 of the family's 1533-position model. The record is from RNAcentral.
UACGUAGGGGCCGAGCGUUGUCCGGAGUUAUUGGGCGUAAAGCGCGCGCAGGCGGCUUGACGCGCCCGACGUGAAAGCCCCCGGCUUAACCGGGGAGGGUCGUCGGGUACGGUCAGGCUUGAGGGCGGGAGAGGGUGGUGGAAUUCCCGGUGUAGUGGUGAAAUGCGUAGAGAUCGGGAGGAACACCUGUGGCGAAGGCGGCCACCUGGGCCGACCCUGACGCUGAGGCGCGAAGGCGUGGGGAGCGAACAGG